RNAcentral lists this ribosomal RNA (467 nucleotides) under uncultured archaeon. RNAcentral describes it as "bacterial SSU rRNA". It matches the Rfam family "Archaeal small subunit ribosomal RNA", at positions 187 to 656 of the family's 1478-position model. The record is from RNAcentral.
UCUUCUGCGUAUUCGCUCCAGGAUGGGACUGCGUCCGAUCAGGCUGUUGGCGGGGUAAUGGCCCACCAAACCUGUAACCGGUACGGGCCUUGAGAGAGGUGGCCCGGAGAUGGACACUGAGAGAAGGGUCCAGGUCCUACGGGGCGCAGCAGGCGCGAAACCUUCGCAAUGCGCGAAAGCGUGACGAGGUUAAUCCGAGUGGCCCCCGCUGAGGGGGUCUUUUGUCAGCUGUAAAUAGGCGGGCGAAUAAGGGGAGGGCAAGCCUGGUGUCAGCCGCCGCGGUAAUACCAGCUCCUCGAGUGGUCGGGGCGAUUAUUGGGCCUAAAGCAUCCGUAGCCGGUUCCGUAGGUCCUCUGUUAAAUCCACCCGCUUAACGGGUGACCUGCAGAGGAUACCGCGGGACUAGGAGGCGGGAGAGGCGGACGGUACUCCGCGUGUAGGGGUAAAAUCCUUUGAUCCGCGGAAGA